GGUCAACUAAUAUUCUGAAUUUAUGUUAAAACAAUGAACAAACACAGAUUAGCCUAUAAAGAGGAUAGAUUCUGACCUUCUUGCCUCGAAUAACAGCUCCUGGCUCACCUUGGAUAACCAUGUACUUCGUUCCACCAAGGUACAAACCAGUUGGAGCAAGAGAUCCAGGUUCAUCAAAGUCUUUCAUAAUUGCAGAAAUCUCUUCAGGCUUGUACUGCAUAAUUUAUGUUAAUAAAGCUCAUUCAUUGAUUAUAUAACAGAUCCAAAGAGAACCUAAUAAAAAUGCUUUGCAGCAUCACCAGCUAGUGCAUUUUAUUGUUUGUACUGGUGAUAGUCUGUAAACAAGAAAUCUUAGAAUGUUGCAGGACAGGGGGGAAUAAAACAUACUGUGGAAAGGCAUCUCUCCAAUUCCAUGGGUUAAAAGAAAUUUUAUUAUUCACCAUGAAUGCAACCAACUGAACUUAAGAAUCCACUUAACUUCAUGUUGCAGGAAAGGGGGGAGCAAAACAUCCUUUGACAGAAACUCUAUCAAUCAUUUUCUAUCAUAGCAUCUGCAUUGUGCUAGAAUUUGAUAUCAACACUCAAGUUUCUCACAUUAAUGUACUGUUUGGCAACCUGUUAUAAUCCAACAUUUUAGUUAAACAAAUUCAUGUAGGUCAGUCAUCACUACAUCACCAAAGAAAGCCUUUUCAGCAAGUGAUAUCAAACACAGACUAUACGAAGGAUCCGCUAAAACCAAAACUUGAGAAAAGUAGGAAAAGAAAAAAGUUAACAUAUAAAAAUGAAUAUCGCAACAAUAAAUUGGAUUUAUUAGGUCAAAUAUUUUGGAUAGUUUCCAUAAUUUAUCAUUCAAUAACUGAAACAAAUAUUUUUUUUAAAAUGAGGAUUGAUGAUUCAAACUGCAUAAUCUCUUCUAAUCACCAAAGAUUGAUAUCUUAUAUUCAUAAAUAUGAUCGUAAAUGCCACCACGAGAACUGGAAGCACAUGAUGAAGAACGUCCAUCAUCAAAUCUUCUCCCCAUCAAUCGUUGGCAAUCAAUCCCCGCAUGAGUUGGCGGCUGGGAUUCUGCACGGUCCAAGACCAACGAAUCGCUCGUAAUUAUUUUGGGCAAUGGAUUCGUCAGAUAACAUGAUACCGUAACACAAAGGUAAGCUAUUCUACUUGUACGCAGACAAAAUCACAAACCCAAGCAGGCCGAUCGCACAACAAAAUGGGAAUCAUAGAUUAGAACCCCUCAAGAAUGAUGAUGAGCCCGGAGAGGACAACUCCGAUCCAACAUCAGACCAAAGCACAACAGAUCAACCAAAUCAGCCGCUUCGAUGAUCACCCGUCAGAUUCAAACAUCACAAACAAAUGCAGCUAAUCGACUCCAACAACAACUAAGGGGGGAGCGAAUCAAAUUAAAAGCGUGUAGCUAGGGGGAAGGGAAGGAUACCCGAGGGAAGGAGUCGCUCUGGGCCCAGACGCUGCCGUCAUGACCAACGAUGGCGGCGGAGGUGAGGCGCUGCCCAUCGAUGUCG
Molecule: long non-coding RNA, 1520 nt
Filed under: Musa acuminata (dwarf banana)
Lineage: Eukaryota; Viridiplantae; Streptophyta; Magnoliopsida; Zingiberales; Musaceae
Description: long non-coding RNA (MACU_LNC003180)
Source: RNAcentral